RNAcentral lists this ribosomal RNA (253 nucleotides) under uncultured bacterium. RNAcentral describes it as "partial 16S ribosomal RNA". It matches the Rfam family "Bacterial small subunit ribosomal RNA", at positions 524 to 776 of the family's 1533-position model. The record is from RNAcentral.
UACGUAGGGCGCGAGCGUUGUCCGGAAUUAUUGGGCGUAAAGAGCUUGUAGGCGGUCUGUCGCGUCUGCUGUGAAAAUCCGGGGCUCAACCCCGGACUUGCAGUGGGUACGGGCAGACUAGAGUGUGGUAGGGGAGACUGGAAUUCCUGGUGUAGCGGUGAAAUGCGCAGAUAUCAGGAGGAACACCGAUGGCGAAGGCAGGUCUCUGGGCCGCUACUGACGCUGAGAAGCGAAGGCAUGGGGAGCGAACAGG